RNAcentral lists this ribosomal RNA (446 nucleotides) under uncultured bacterium. RNAcentral describes it as "partial 16S ribosomal RNA". It matches the Rfam family "Bacterial small subunit ribosomal RNA", at positions 28 to 507 of the family's 1533-position model. The record is from RNAcentral.
GAUGAACGCUGGCGGCAUGCCUAACACAUGCAAGUCGGACGGGAAACCCGGGAAACGGUGUUUCUAGUGGCGGACGGGUGAGUAACGCGUAAGAACCUGUCCUUGGGAGGGGAACAACAGGUGGAAACGGCUGCUAAUAUCCCGUAGGCGGAGGAGCAAAAUGAGGAAUCCGCCCGAGGAGGGGCUGGCGUCUGAUUAGCUAGUGGGUGAGUCACUAGCUUACUAAGUCGAGGGACAGUAGCCAGUCCGAGCGGAUGUACGGCCACACUGGGACUGGGACGCGGCGCGGGGUCUUACGGGAGACAGGGGUGAGGAAUUUUCCGCCAUGGGCGAGAGGCUGACGAAGCAAUGCGGGGUGGAAGUAGAAGGCGUUGGGAUAGAGAACUACUAGUUCAGGAGAAGAAGCAAUGACGGUAACUGAAGAAUAAGCAACGGCUAACUCUGUG